Molecule: small RNA, 28 nt
Filed under: Bombyx mori (domestic silkworm)
Lineage: Eukaryota; Metazoa; Arthropoda; Insecta; Lepidoptera; Bombycidae
Description: ovarian small RNA-1175
Source: RNAcentral
UGAUCGAUGAGUUUCAGAUAUUUGUUGC